AGCAACAAAUGCCCUGCUUCCAGGAAAAGCCUCUAAGCAUCAGGUAACAUCAAAUCGUACCCCAAACCGACACAGGUGGUCAGGUAGAGAAUACCAAGGCGCUUGAGAGAACUCGGGUGAAGGAACUAGGCAAAAUGGUGCCGUAACUUCGGGAGAAGGCACGCUGACACGUAGGUGAAGUGAUUUACUCAUGGAGCUGAAGUCAGUCGAAGAUACCAGCUGGCUGCAACUGUUUAUUAAAAACACAGCACUGUGCAAACACGAAAGUGGACGUAUACGGUGUGACGCCUGCCCGGUGCCGGAAGGUUAAUUGAUGGGGUCAGCGCAAGCGAAGCUCCUGAUCGAAGCCCCGGUAAACGGCGGCCGUAACUAUAACGGUCCUAAGGUAGCGAAAUUCCUUGUCGGGUAAGUUCCGACCUGCACGAAUGGCGUAAUGAUGGCCAGGCUGUCUCCACCCGAGACUCAGUGAAAUUGAACUCGCUGUGAAGAUGCAGUGUACCCGCGGCAAGACGGAAAGACCCCGUGAACCUUUACUAUAGCUUGACACUGAACAUUGAGCCUUGAUGUGUAGGAUAGGUGGGAGGCUUUGAAGUGUGGACGCCAGUCUGCAUGGAGCCGACCUUGAAAUACCACCCUUUAAUGUUUGAUGUUCUAACGUGGACCCGUUACCCGGGUUGCGGACAGUGUCUGGUGGGUAGUUUGACUGGGGCGGUCUCCUCCUAAAGAGUAACGGAGGAGCACGAAGGUUGGCUAAUCCUGGUCGGACAUCAGGAGGUUAGUGCAAUGGCAUAAGCCAGCUUGACUGCGAGCGUGACGGCGCGAGCAGGUGCGAAAGCAGGUCAUAGUGAUCCGGUGGUUCUGAAUGGAAGGGCCAUCGCUCAACGGAUAAAAGGUACUCCGGGGAUAACAGGCUGAUACCGCCCAAGAGUUCAUAUCGACGGCGGUGUUUGGCACCUCGAUGUCGGCUCAUCACAUCCUGGGGCUGAAGUAGGUCCCAAGGGUAUGGCUGUUCGCCAUUUAAAGUGGUACGCGAGCUGGGUUUAGAACGUCGUGAGACAGUUCGGUCCCUAUCUGCCGUGGGCGCUGGAGAACUGAGGGGGGCUGCUCCUAGUACGAGAGGACCGGAGUGGACGCAUCACUGGUGUUCGGGUUGUCAUGCCAAUGGCACUGCCCGGUAGCUAAAUGCGGAAGAGAUAAGUGCUGAAAGCAUCUAAGCACGAAACUUGCCCCGAGAUGAGUUCUCCCUGAGACUUUAGGUCUCCUGAAGGAACGUUGAAGACGACGACGUUGAUAGGCCGGGUGUGUAAGCGCAGCGAUGCGUUGAGCUAACCGGUACUAAUGAACCGUGAGGCUUAACCUUACAACGCCGAA
RNAcentral lists this ribosomal RNA (1371 nucleotides) under Salmonella enterica. RNAcentral's name for it is "partial 23S ribosomal RNA". It matches the Rfam family "Bacterial large subunit ribosomal RNA", at positions 1589 to 2925 of the family's 2925-position model. Lineage: Bacteria; Pseudomonadati; Pseudomonadota; Gammaproteobacteria; Enterobacterales; Enterobacteriaceae. The record is from RNAcentral. RNAcentral also lists the same sequence under 5 other names.